AUCCAAGUCAAUCAAUAGAGAUUACACAAAUCAAACCAAUUCAAAAUCAGCUUAAAAUUCAUUCAAGCCAGCUAUAAAAAACAAAAUAGUACAUAGAAAAAUACCGAUCGUCACCUUCAUCGAACAACUGAAAUCUAUCUGCAAAAUCAUCGAUCAAUUAGAACAGCAAACAGAUACAGUGAACAGUAAAAAUCAAUAAAAAGAACGAAAGGACAGUAAAAACUCAACAAACCAUCAUACAUCCCCAAAUUGUAAACUUAGAAAAGAAUACAGAUCUAAAGCAGUCAAAAAUAAAAUCAAAAUGCACAGGAAUGAGACGCUACAGAGCUUAUGCUCACAUCGGUCAACGGGAGAGUGAUUUUUCGGAUGUAGCGAAGCGGUUCCAAUAUAUCAGCGUCACAACAACAAGAAACGUCCACGAUGGCUAAAAGUAAGCUACCAAUCCACGAUAGGUCUGAUGAAACCCCUUGAUGAGAAAGCAGAGUCUCAAACCAUGAAAGCACACAACCAGAUCGCAGCAAUAAAAAUUCCUUUAAAUGAUGAAGCAGCGCGAUGAACUAAAAGAAAAGAAAGCAAAACCAAUCCAUCGACGAGAUGAAUGAGCAAAAACCAAUCAGGAGAAAGCUAAAAUGAAA
Molecule: long non-coding RNA, 635 nt
Filed under: Manihot esculenta (cassava)
Lineage: Eukaryota; Viridiplantae; Streptophyta; Magnoliopsida; Malpighiales; Euphorbiaceae
Description: long non-coding RNA (MESC_LNC001022)
Source: RNAcentral